CUGCUGCCUCCCGUAGGAGUCUGGGCCGUAUCUCAGUCCCAAUGUGGCCGGCCAACCUCUCAGUCCGGCUACUGAUCGUCGCCUUGGUAGGCCGUUACCCUACCAACUAGCUAAUCAGACGCGAGGCCAUCUCUCAGCGAUAAAUCUUUGGUAUCCAUGCCAUGCGACACAAAUACGUUAUGCGGUAUUAGCAGUCGUUUCCAACUGUUGUCCCCCACUGAAAGGCAGGUUCCUCACGCGUUACUCACCCG
RNAcentral lists this ribosomal RNA (251 nucleotides) under uncultured bacterium. Its description in RNAcentral is "partial 16S ribosomal RNA". The record is from RNAcentral.